GCAAGUCGAACGGUAGAGGGGGCAACCCCUUGAGAGUGGCGAACGGGUGAGUAAUAUAUCGGAACGUGCCCAGUCGUGGGGGAUAACGUAGUGAAAAUUACGCUAAUACCGCAUACGAUCUAAGGAUGAAAGCGGGGGACCGUAAGGCCUCGCGCGAUUGGAGCGGCCGAUAUCAGAUUAGGUAGUUGGUAGGGUAAAGGCCUACCAAGCCAACGAUCUGUAGCUGGUCUGAGAGGACGACCAGCCACACUGGAACUGAGACACGGUCCAGACUCCUACGGGAGGCAGCAGUGGGGAAUUUUGGACAAUGGGCGAAAGCCUGAUCCAGCCAUUCCGCGUGCAGGAUGAAGGCCCUCGGGUUGUAAACUGCUUUUGUACAGAACGAAAAGGUUUCUAUUAAUACUAGGAGCUCAUGACGGUACUGUAAGAAUAAGCACCGGCUAACUACGUGCCAGCAGCCGCGGUAAUACGUAGGGUGCAAGCGUUAAUCGGAAUUACUGGGCGUAAAGCGUGCGCAGGCGGUUAUAUAAGUCAGAUGUGAAAUCCCCGGGCUCAACCUGGGAACUGCAUUUGAGACUGUAUAGCUAGAGUACGGUAGAGGGGGAUGGAAUUCCGCGUGUAGCAGUGAAAUGCGUAGAUAUGCGGAGGAACACCGAUGGCGAAGGCAAUCCCCUGGACCUGUACUGACGCUCAUGCACGAAAGCGUGGGGAGCAAACAGGAUUAGAUACCCUGGUAGUCCACGCCCUAAACGAUGUCAACUGGUUGUUGGGUCUUAACUGACUCAGUAACGAAGCUAACGCGUGAAGUUGACCGC
This 815-nucleotide ribosomal RNA is filed under the name uncultured Burkholderiales bacterium. RNAcentral's name for it is "bacterial SSU rRNA". It matches the Rfam family "Bacterial small subunit ribosomal RNA", at positions 57 to 872 of the family's 1533-position model. The record is from RNAcentral. Lineage: Bacteria; Pseudomonadati; Pseudomonadota; Betaproteobacteria; Burkholderiales.